Molecule: ribosomal RNA, 403 nt
Filed under: uncultured bacterium
Lineage: Bacteria
Description: partial 16S ribosomal RNA
Rfam family: Bacterial small subunit ribosomal RNA
Source: RNAcentral
GACGAACGCUGGCGGCGUGCCUAAUACAUGCAAGUCGAACGCAGUGGGGACGGGUGAGUAACACGUGGGUAACCUCCCAUCAGCUGGGAUAACACUUGGAAACAGGUGCUAAACCGAUACUGAUGGAUGGAUCCGCGGGGCAUUGGCUAGUGGGUGAGGUAACGGCUCACCAAGGCCACGAUGCAUAGCCGACCUGAGAGGGUGAUCGGCCACACUGGGACUGAGACACGGCCCAGACUCCUACGGGAGCCAGCAGUGGGGAAUCUUCGGCAAUGGACGAAAGGCUGACCAAGCAACGCCGCGUGAUUGAAGAAGGUUUUCGGAUUGUAAAGCUCUGUUGUUAGAGAAGCGGUAUCUAACCAGGAAGCCACGGCUAACUACGUGCCAGCAGCCGCGGUAAUUC